AAAAAAUUCUAGUUACUGCACUACUUAAUAGAAAAACAUAUAAUAUCAAUAAAGUCUAACAAUUUUGCAAAAUGUACCAAAACAUGAGCAAUACCUAAAGCUCGUCCAAAAACAAAGUCACCUAGGGAAUUAUCUUAUAAAAGAACUUGAAAGCUCGUCGCCAUGAAAUCUCGAAGUCCAUGUUCUGAAAAUUAUCCAUCUACUGU
This 206-nucleotide long non-coding RNA is filed under the name Erythranthe guttata (spotted monkey flower). Its description in RNAcentral is "long non-coding RNA (EGUT_LNC002209)". The record is from RNAcentral. Lineage: Eukaryota; Viridiplantae; Streptophyta; Magnoliopsida; Lamiales; Phrymaceae.